GGAAAGUUGAAAAGCACUCUGAAUAGAGAGUCAAAAAGUACGUGAAACUGCCUAGGGCUCAAGCCCGUUGAACUCGAUUAUCCGAGCGGAGACAUUCACCUGCGGUUGGCCCGGUCCCCACGGGCCGGGUAGACCGCAGGGCACUUGUCUACCGCGCCCACGAGGACAUUGCGAUCCAUUACGAAACCGCUCCUGGCGUCGCAAGACGCAAGGUUGCCGACAGUUGCCCCUUGGUGCUUGGUUGCUUGCCCCACAGUAGCGACGCUCAGUUCUGAAGGCCUGUGCCGCGAGGUGGGGCUUACUGCACGUGGUGUUUUGCAGUCGGGCGCGUGAUGGAUUUCCGCGCACGCCGUCGGCCUUCCCGCAACGGGUCGGCGGACCGUCGAUCGGCAAUGAUAAAAUCGAGGUACCUUCGGGACCCGUCUUGAAACACGGACCAAGAAGUCUAU
RNAcentral lists this ribosomal RNA (449 nucleotides) under Aedes echinus. RNAcentral describes it as "partial large subunit ribosomal RNA". It matches the Rfam family "Eukaryotic large subunit ribosomal RNA", at positions 358 to 678 of the family's 3401-position model. Lineage: Eukaryota; Metazoa; Arthropoda; Insecta; Diptera; Culicidae. The record is from RNAcentral.